Molecule: long non-coding RNA, 211 nt
Filed under: Salvia miltiorrhiza (redroot sage)
Lineage: Eukaryota; Viridiplantae; Streptophyta; Magnoliopsida; Lamiales; Lamiaceae
Description: long non-coding RNA (SMIL_LNC009432)
Source: RNAcentral
UGGGUUAGUAACACGUACGAUAAGGUUCGGGUCCUUAUCGGGUCGACCUGAUAAGGACCUGAUAAUUUCGGGUCGGGUUGGGUUGGGUUCGGGUCGGAUUCAGGUAACCCGAUAGUGAUAUUAUUAUUUUUAUUAAAUAUUUAUUUUAAUUUUUAAAUUUUUGAUUUCUUAGUUUAGGCCUUAGGGUUUCAUUCAUUUCAAAUUUCAAUCA